AACGAACGCUGGCGGCAGGCCUAACACAUGCAAGUCGAACGAAGUCUUCGGACUUAGUGGCGCACGGGUGAGUAACACGUGGGAAUAUACCUUACGCUGGGGGAUAACAUCGGGAAACUGAUGCUAAUACCGCAUACGCCCUUCGGGGGAAAGAUUUAUCGGCGAAAGAUUAGCCCGCGUCCGAUUAGCUAGUUGGUGAGGUAAUGGCUCACCAAGGCUCCGAUCGGUAGCUGGUCUGAGAGGAUGACCAGCCACACUGGGACUGAGACACGGCCCAGACUCCUACGGGAGGGAGCAGUGGGGAAUAUUGGACAAUGGGCGCAAGCCUGAUCCAGCCAUGCCGCGUGAGUGAUGAAGGCCUUAGGGUUGUAAAGCUCUUUCACCCACGACGAUGAUGACGGUAGUGGGAGAAGAGGCCCCGGCUAACUUCGUG
RNAcentral lists this ribosomal RNA (433 nucleotides) under uncultured bacterium. Its description in RNAcentral is "partial 16S ribosomal RNA". It matches the Rfam family "Bacterial small subunit ribosomal RNA", at positions 29 to 507 of the family's 1533-position model. The record is from RNAcentral.